Long non-coding RNA from Myotis brandtii (Brandt's bat), 964 nucleotides. RefSeq lists it as uncharacterized. NCBI's taxonomy places the organism in Eukaryota, Metazoa, Chordata, Mammalia, Chiroptera, Vespertilionidae. The record is from RefSeq and is a predicted model, not a curated record. The transcript is spliced from 4 exons.
ACUCGGUGGGGCCGGAAGGGCACGUCCCGCCGUCUGCACCGGAAAGCAGAGAUCCGCUCGGACCUGGAACCGACGCUGCUCCCCACGAAGACAGUCAUUGGAGCGCGCCUGAUGGGGGUGCCCCCAGAGUACCCCCUUUUCCAGCCGGCCUGGGUGGAUCCUGAGAGCCAAAAAAGCAGUGCCCGUUUAGACUUCAUCACAGGAAGACAGCAUUCAGAAUGAGGAGGAAAUGUCCAUGGCGCAUGUACUCAGCAUAGCCAGCUACCUCCACUGCUUCUCCACCACAGUCCCAGUUUAAGGACAUUGAUAAGCUGGAGCACAACCUAGGAAGGCUGACCAGGAGGGAGAAGAGAGGAGGGGAGCAGGCUGCCACACUUUGGCCAGUCGAAGCUUCAUUCUCCUUCCUCCUAGUCCUUUCCUCCCUGAGCCACCACGUGGAAGAACCAGAACUGAAGAACAGACAUGGCCACAAGGCCUGGGUUGGCAUCCAGACCACCACUUGCUGACGAUGUGUUUGGGUACGUUACUCCAUCUCUCCAGCCUUCAUUCCUCAGCCUGUAAAAUGGGGAGGGAUGUUGGUCCCUGAUCCUUUCCAACUCUAAGGUUCUAUAGCUUUUUCAAUGAAAUUGUUGUGGAGAAGAAGACAUAAGGCUUCCCUAUCGAUUGGAAUAUUUAUACCAACCUACCACAAGGAAUAUUUCAUUAUACUAAGCCAUGUGAACAUGAAGAACAAGGUUAACUUGCUGAAGCAAUUUUAGGUUGGUUUUCCUCUUACUAGCUGAAAAAUCGACCCAGAUGUUUACCAAUAGGAUCGAUGGAUACAAAUAUCAAGUCAUACCUAUAUACUUAAGCAUUAAGCUCCAAAGAAAAUGACUUAUUAGAUACUCAAUAACGUUUGUUGAGGAAGGUAGAGGAAGAGACUCUCUGAAAGAUUUAAGUAUUUAAGUACUAUUUAAGAAUCAGA